UACAGAGGGGGCAAGCGUUGUUCGGAAUUACUGGGCGUAAAGGGCGCGUAGGCGGCCUGCUAAGUCGAACGUGAAAUCCCUGGGCUCAACCCAGGAACUGCGUCCGAUACUGGUUGGCUUGAAUCCGGGAGAGGGAUGUGGAAUUCCAGGUGUAGCGGUGAAAUGCGUAGAUAUCAGGAGGAACACCGGUGGCGAAGGCGGUUCUCUGGGCAUGUCCUGACGCUGAGGAGCGAAAGUGUGGGGAGCGAACAGG
RNAcentral lists this ribosomal RNA (253 nucleotides) under uncultured bacterium. Its description in RNAcentral is "partial 16S ribosomal RNA". It matches the Rfam family "Bacterial small subunit ribosomal RNA", at positions 524 to 776 of the family's 1533-position model. The record is from RNAcentral.